ACGGGUGAGUAACGCGUGGGAAUCUACCUAGUUCUACGGAACAACAGAGGGAAACUUCUGCUAAUACCGUAUACGCCCUAAGGGGGAAAGAUUUAUCGGAACUAGAUGAGCCCGCGUAAGAUUAGCUAGUUGGUGGGGUAAUGGCCUACCAAGGCGACGAUCUUUAGCUGGUCUGAGAGGAUGAUCAGCCACACUGGGACUGAGACACGGCCCAGACUCCUACGGGAGGCAGCAGUGGGGAAUAUUGGACAAUGGGCGCAAGCCUGAUCCAGCCAUGCCGCGUGAGUGAUGAAGGCCUUAGGGUUGUAAAGCUCUUUCAGUGGGGAAGAUAAUGACGGUACCCACAGAAGAAGCCCCGGCUAACUUCGUGCCAGCAGCCGCGGUAAUACGAAGGGGGCUAGCGUUGUUCGGAUUUACUGGGCGUAAAGCGCACGUAGGCGGAUUGGUCAGUUAGGGGUGAAAUCCUGGAGCUCAACUCCAGAACUGCCUUUAAUACUGCCAGUCUCGAGUCCGGAAGAGGUAAGUGGAACUCCUAGUGUAGAGGUGGAAUUCGUAGA
This 557-nucleotide ribosomal RNA is filed under the name uncultured Devosia sp. RNAcentral's name for it is "bacterial SSU rRNA". It matches the Rfam family "Bacterial small subunit ribosomal RNA", at positions 102 to 694 of the family's 1533-position model. Lineage: Bacteria; Pseudomonadati; Pseudomonadota; Alphaproteobacteria; Hyphomicrobiales; Devosiaceae. The record is from RNAcentral.